CAAGAUGUAGCUCAGCUUGGUAGAGCACUUCGUUCGGGACGAAGGGGUCGCAGGUUCAAUUCCUGUCAUCUUGA
RNAcentral lists this transfer RNA (74 nucleotides) under Pisciglobus halotolerans. RNAcentral describes it as "Carnobacteriaceae bacterium C01 tRNA". It matches the Rfam family "tRNA". From Rfam's summary of the family: Transfer RNA (tRNA) molecules are approximately 80 nucleotides in length. Their secondary structure includes four short double-helical elements and three loops (D, anti-codon, and T loops). Lineage: Bacteria; Bacillati; Bacillota; Bacilli; Lactobacillales; Carnobacteriaceae. The record is from Rfam by way of RNAcentral.